RNAcentral lists this unclassified non-coding RNA (273 nucleotides) under Hevea brasiliensis (rubber tree). The record is from RNAcentral. Lineage: Eukaryota; Viridiplantae; Streptophyta; Magnoliopsida; Malpighiales; Euphorbiaceae.
AAGAUGCAUAGGUGUUGAUCUCAUUUGACUUUUUUCAGGAUGUGGUAUUCCAAACAGUGUACCGUAUCCAGUUGGGUUUAUGGAAUAACCAUGGCUAUAGACUAUCAAUUAUUUUUUCUUCAUAGAAAAUUAUGGAUAAGGAAUCAUCUAUUUUUACUUCUCCAGUUGGUCAAUAUUAAUAACAAUAAAUUUGUAGUUGCUAUUGUAUUAGUAGCCUAAUUGCUGAGUAUGAUAUUAAGGUUCAAAUACCUGCAUCUUUGUCUCCUAUUAAAA